GUAUUUUGGACAAUGGGCGAACGCCUGCUCCAGCAAUGCCGCGUGCAGGAUGAAGGCCUUCGGGUUGUAAACUGCUUUUGUACGGAGCGAAAAGCUUUGGGUUAAUACCCUGGAGUCAUGACGGUAGCGGAAGAAUCAGCCCCGGCUACCGCCGCGGCACCAGCCGCGGUAAUACGUAGGGGGCAAGCGUUAAUCGUAAUUACUGGGCGUAAAGCGUGCGCAGGCGGUUUUGUAAGACAGAGGUGAAAUCCCCGGGCUCAACCUGGGAACUGCCUUUGUGACUGCAAGGCUAGAGUACGGCAGAGGGGGGUGGAAUUCCGCGUGUAGCAGUGAAAUGCGUAGAUAUGCGGAGGAACACCGAUGGCGAAGGCAACCCCCUGGGCCUGUACUGACGCUCAUGCACGAAAGCGUGGGGAGCAAACAGG
RNAcentral lists this ribosomal RNA (425 nucleotides) under uncultured bacterium. Its description in RNAcentral is "partial 16S ribosomal RNA". It matches the Rfam family "Bacterial small subunit ribosomal RNA", at positions 359 to 776 of the family's 1533-position model. The record is from RNAcentral.